UUUAGCUACACGACUCAGAGUAUGAAGAAUUAGUGAAAGCUACACUGGAAACUGCUACAAAGAGCGGCCAGAUUCGUUAUAAAAUGGAGCACAAAGCUGACGUUUGGAACUUGUCUUGGCUUUACAUCUAUGUUUUGUUCAUAUUCGCCGACGAGAUCACUGACCGGUGGUACCUCUAUUUUGAAAAUGUGCGAAUUUUGAUGUUUUUAUUGUAUUUUUCUUUAUGAUCUACGGAAGAGAGAAAUGCUGAUUUUGCUACAAUUGAUGGAACAAUAAGCCGAUAUCUGCUACCUACUGGGGUAUGAAAGUAUGAGGGAUUUCCCAGCCCUGCAGACAAGGAGCUGAAGGAAGAAGUUGAUGCACUGCACGCGAACGAAGAGAAGUUGAGGAGAGCGAUGCUGGACAAGGGCAUCGAGUGGAUGUUCAACGUUCCUGCCGCUUCCCACCACGGCGGUGUGUGGGAGCGUCUCAUCAGAGGCGUCCGGAAGAUCCUGAAUGGUCUGUUAACCAGCCAAACAUUCACAGAAGAGACGUUGCACACACUCUUGUGCGAAACCGAGUGCAUCAUGAACAAUCGGCCGCUGGUGCCGGUUUCGUCGGACCCUCGUGACGAGGUGCCUCUGACUCCGAAUCACAUCCUGCAUUUGAAGUGUGUGACACCGGUAUGUGAUUCUUCAAGUGAAGAUGACCUGGAUGGACCCAAGAGAUGGCGACAAGCUGCUUACCUAGCUGAGCAGUUUUGGCGUUCGUGGAGACGGCUAUACUUGCCUCUCCUGCAGCAGCGAUCUCGCGCUGCCACGAGAAGUCGGACGAACCUGCGGAUCGGUGACGUCGUCGUCAUGGUAGACGAAUCGGUACCACGCGGUGUGUGGCCGCUGGGUCUCGUGAAGGAGACCCUGAUGGGUAAGGACGGGCGUGUGCGCUCUGUGAAGGUCCGCGCUCGAGGAACCACGUUCCUGAGACCUGUCACGAAGGUAGUGAAGAUUCUGGGCGCAGAAGAGCAGUCUUGGUGAAGCGAUGGAGCUGCAGCUACACUGUAUAACACAGCAUGAGUCUAGCAGCACACCGCUAAGUCAUUAACACCGGACACUUAAGAUCAUGACACGCCACACAGGCUCAUGACACAAUCACAAUGAUAGACAUCAGGAACGGUGCAUGUAUAAUGUAUAUAGGAUGCGUUCUACUUCCGUGUGUUGAUGCUGAUCUCAGCGACGCUUGUUUCGGUAGGCUGUGCAGUGUGCCUAUGUGUUGUUAUAUGUAUAGUUAAGAAGUUGGUUUUGAACCUGGAUGGUUCAAAGGGGGCGGGUGUUAGCGCCGCACGGCCCCCAGCGGCGGUGCCGUUGCGACGCCGCUCAGCGGCGGUGCCCUCCGCCUAUGGUUACUGAGCUAUGUUGCUAUGGUUACCGGAUUGUUUGUUUUGUUUACUUUCUUUCGGCUCGAUUUUGACAAUGUCUGGAUAGAAUCUGAAUAAUUACGAAAGAUAAAGACGAAAGAUGUGAUUGAUGACUUGCAAAAAUGUUGUUUGAGUGAAAAGGAAGAAUUUUGACUAUGAAUUCAAGCAUGAACACUGUUCGUUACGCCGGAGAGUGACAAUUUGUCGUUACGGCUCAAGGCUCCUGGCUCCUGCCUCCUGUUGUACGAGGCUCUGCUGGCGGUACGCGGCUGACUCAGGCUCAGGCCGUUAGCGCUGGAAGAAGGAGGAGGAAUGGAGGAGAAAAUAUAGAGGACUGAGAGCCCGUGAA
RNAcentral lists this long non-coding RNA (1742 nucleotides) under Amphibalanus amphitrite. Its description in RNAcentral is "uncharacterized LOC122365747". The record is from RNAcentral. Lineage: Eukaryota; Metazoa; Arthropoda; Thecostraca; Balanomorpha; Balanidae.